AAGAGGAAGUCCGGUGAGAAUCCGGCGCUGACCCGCAACCGUGUUCGCCGGUAUGUAGGGGUAGGUUUAAACCUACCCCUACAUACCGGCGUAAGUCGGGAACUC
Molecule: non-coding RNA, 105 nt
Filed under: Turneriella parva
Lineage: Bacteria; Pseudomonadati; Spirochaetota; Leptospiria; Leptospirales; Leptospiraceae
Source: RNAcentral